CCCCUCCUCCCCCUCCUCCUCUUCCUCCUCUCUCCUCUUCCUCCCCAUCCUCUUCCUCCUCUCUCCUCUUCCUCCCCAUCCUCUUCCUCCCCCUCCUCUUUUUCCUCCUCUUAUUCCUCCUCUUCUUUGUCCUCCUCCUCCUCUUCUUCCUCCUCUCCUUUGUCCUCCUCCUCUUCUUCCUCCUCCUUUUUCUCUUCUUUUACCCCCUCAGAGUCAAGCUCUCAGUCAGGCUGGGUGUGACCUUGUAGACAGAGGUUAUCCUA
This 263-nucleotide long non-coding RNA is filed under the name Rattus norvegicus (Norway rat). RNAcentral's name for it is "long non-coding RNA NONRATT022747". The record is from RNAcentral. Lineage: Eukaryota; Metazoa; Chordata; Mammalia; Rodentia; Muridae.